GCCGAGCUCAGUAAUGUGGGCUUAUAACCCAAAUGGGGGCAAUAAUGUGGUGGAAUAUUGAGCCGCUCCAGAUGGUAGGACUUGGUGGGCUAAUCUCUGGCCUACCCUGUCCAAGCACAGAGUUGGGUCAUGAGGCCCAAGCCAAGGCAUGGGCUGCUGGACUCCUAAAGUGGGGUGGACCGCGUGAGGCUGGUUUCACAGAGCAAUGAAUAGUUCCCGCUCUGUGCAGUGGAAGGAUUACGGGCCAGUGUUCUCCAAGUCCAACAAAUCCCUGAUGGGCUUCUCCAAUUAAACUAUUACUUUU
Nicotiana sylvestris (wood tobacco) is the source of this 304-nucleotide non-coding RNA. The record is from Rfam. Lineage: Eukaryota; Viridiplantae; Streptophyta; Magnoliopsida; Solanales; Solanaceae.